Molecule: ribosomal RNA, 541 nt
Filed under: uncultured bacterium
Lineage: Bacteria
Description: bacterial SSU rRNA
Rfam family: Bacterial small subunit ribosomal RNA
Source: RNAcentral
CCUGAUCCAGCCAUGCCGCGUGCGGGAAGAAGGCCUUCGGGUUGUAAACCGCUUUCGGCCGGAACGAAAUCGCCCGGGUGAACAUCCCGGGUGGAUGACGGUACCGGAAGAAGAAGCACCGGCUAACUACGUGCCAGCAGCCGCGGUAAUACGUAGGGUGCGAGCGUUAAUCGGAAUUACUGGGCGUAAAGCGUGCGCAGGCGGUCUCGUAAGACAGGUGUGAAAUCCCCGGGCUCAACCUGGGAACUGCGCUUGUGACUGCGAGGCUGGAGUGCGGAAGAGGGAGGUGGAAUUCCACGUGUAGCAGUGAAAUGCGUAGAGAUGUGGAGGAACACCGAUGGCGAAGGCAGCCUCCUGGUCCAGCACUGACGCUCAUGCACGAAAGCGUGGGGAGCAAACAGGAUUAGAUACCCUGGUAGUCCACGCCCUAAACGAUGACGACUAGUUGUUGGGGUAGAAGUACCUUAGUAACGCAGCUAACGCGUGAAGUCGUCCGCCUGGGGAGUACGGUCGCAAGAUUAAAACUCAAAGGAAUUGACGG